Molecule: transfer RNA, 72 nt
Filed under: Caudoviricetes sp.
Lineage: Duplodnaviria; Heunggongvirae; Uroviricota; Caudoviricetes
Description: tRNA-Met
Rfam family: tRNA
About the family: Transfer RNA (tRNA) molecules are approximately 80 nucleotides in length. Their secondary structure includes four short double-helical elements and three loops (D, anti-codon, and T loops).
Source: RNAcentral
CGCAGGAUAGAGAAGAGGAAUCUCGCAAGGCUCAUAUCCUUGAGAACGGCGGUUCAAAUCCGCCUCCUGCAA